Molecule: ribosomal RNA, 398 nt
Filed under: uncultured bacterium
Lineage: Bacteria
Description: partial 16S ribosomal RNA
Rfam family: Bacterial small subunit ribosomal RNA
Source: RNAcentral
AUACGUAGGGUGCGAGCGUUGUCCGGAAUUACUGGGCGUAAAAAGCUCGUAGGUGGUUUGUCGCGUCGUCUGUGAAAUUCCGGGGCUUGACUCCGGGCGUGCAGGCGAUACGGGCAUAACUUGAGUACUGUAGGGGAGACUGGAAUUCCUGGUGUAGCGGUGAAAUGCGCAGAUAUCAGGAGGAACACCGGUGGCGAAGGCGGGUCUCUGGGCAGUAACUGACGCUGAGGAGCGAAAGCAUGGGUAGCGAACAGGAUUAGAUACCCUGGUAGUCCAUGCCGUAAACGGUGGGCGCUAGGUGUAGGGGUCUUCCACGACUUCUGUGCCGUAGCUAACGCAUUAAGCGCCCCGCCUGGGGAGUACGGCCGCAAGGCUAAAACUCAAAUGAAUUGGCGGGG